Molecule: long non-coding RNA, 661 nt
Organism: Humulus lupulus (European hop)
Lineage: Eukaryota; Viridiplantae; Streptophyta; Magnoliopsida; Rosales; Cannabaceae
Exons: 3
Source: RefSeq, a predicted model, not a curated record
AAUGUCCUCCAUGUCCGACCCACUCGGUGUAGUAGUGGUUUCUCUAACCACUCCUAUUCGGACAGCGCAAACUAAGUAGAGGAGACGAGCCAGAGUUCAGAGCAACGUCUCCUAAUGCGACUCACUCACUCUCUCUCUUCCGAUCUCCUCUCUCCCAAAUUAUCCGAUCGUAGCUAAGACCUCUGCUACUACUACUAUGGCUGUUCCUGUGGAAGAAGCCAUUGCGGCGCUAUCUACAUUCUCACUCGAGGAUGAGCAAGCACAAGUGCAAGGACCAGGAAUUUGGGUGUUAACGGAGUGCAAUGUACACCCAAAAAUAGAAUAGGGGGUGCACCAUAGAAUUUCUCUCUAAUUUUGUGCUAAUAUAAUUAGUAAAGAUAUUUGUGUAAAUUUAUAACAAACACAUAAUUAAUUUUGGGUAAUUAUAUUUGCAUCCCAAAAUUUGAUUAGUACAUCUCAUUUUUAAAAAAAUAAUAUAUAUAUAUAUUAUAUAUAUUUUUUCAACUUGUGCUUACAUUUUUCUAAAAAAAAGUUCUUUUUCAUUAAUUUUAUUACUCUGUAUUUCUUUGUUUGCGUUUCUGCAUUAAUUUUUCAGAGUUUUGUCAUUUGUUUGUUUGUUGUAUUUGUGUAUUGGUUAUUUGGUUCAUGUGUGUGGAGGUGC